Molecule: long non-coding RNA, 488 nt
Organism: Dromaius novaehollandiae (emu)
Lineage: Eukaryota; Metazoa; Chordata; Aves; Casuariiformes; Dromaiidae
Exons: 8
Source: RefSeq, a predicted model, not a curated record
AGAUGCAGAGGAGUGUUCCAAGUGGGUCCAAGGGAGCUGGAAGGAAGGGGCAUGCCCCAAGAAGGCGUGGAGCCUUGCGGGGAGCAGGUCGCUCGCAUCCAGGAGGAGCUGGGCGAGGUGUGUGGCAGACCUCGGCGUGGGGAGCCGUAGCCCGGCAGUCGGGACGGGAGAGCGGAGCAGGCAUUGCAGGAAGUUUUGGAGAGGAGAAGGUGAGCGGUAACGAGGAGCCUGAGCAGGUACGGUCCGGGCCUUUCCCAGGCGUGGCUGAGGAUUUGAGGUGAAGUAGAAUGGAUGCCACGGGCAGCGUCACAGGCACAAUGCUGGAGCGUGGCUUUGGCACAGUGCAGGUGAUAAAGGCAACUGUGGUGACUGAAGGGAGAUCAGCGCGGAUGCGGCUGCCAUUGAGGAUGGCUCUUGAGGAGCGAUGGUGAUGCCCAGCAUUUGAACAAUGCUGAGCAGUGUUCUGAGUGGGCCCAAGGGAGCUGGAG